AUUCCAUGAUGAGGGCAAGCUUCAGUUAGCUCAUUUAAUCUUUCCCAUGCUUCAGCAAUUGACUCCCCAUCAUUUUGAUUGAAUUUAUGGAUGAGGUG
Lupinus angustifolius (narrow-leaved blue lupine) is the source of this 98-nucleotide non-coding RNA. The record is from Rfam. Lineage: Eukaryota; Viridiplantae; Streptophyta; Magnoliopsida; Fabales; Fabaceae.